Molecule: ribosomal RNA, 253 nt
Filed under: uncultured bacterium
Lineage: Bacteria
Description: partial 16S ribosomal RNA
Rfam family: Bacterial small subunit ribosomal RNA
Source: RNAcentral
UACGUAGGUGACAAGCGUUGUCCGGAUUUACUGGGCGUAAAGAGCGCGCAGGCGGUCGUUCAAGUCGAGUGUGAAAGCCCCCGGCUCAACUGGGGAGGGUCAUUCGAUACUGAUCGACUCGAAGGCAGGAGAGGGAAGUGGAAUUCCCGGUGUAGUGGUGAAAUGCGUAGAUAUCGGGAGGAACACCAGUGGCGAAGGCGGCAUUCUGGACCAAUACUGACGCUGAGGAGCGAAAGCCAGGGGAGCAAACGGG